GUUAUCUUAAUCGGGGUUGUUUUCGAAUUCUUUGUGGAUCUGUGUAAUCUGAGGGAAAUGUCUCUCUAAUAUAGUUAGUUACACAUUGAGGCAGGAGGUUAGGAAGUGCAGCCCAGUUUUCACCUCAUUUUGUAGGAAGUGUGCACAUAGCCUGUCUUCUCCAUCAGUGUUUUAUUCUAGGCUACUACACUGCGAGAGCAAACACACUUCUCGAAAAUCAAAGGAGACUUGAUACGGCACUUCUGAUAUCUCGCCUGGAACUUCCUCUUUUAUGGCAGGUAGACUACAGUAGGCUAUUAACGCGCCUGUAUAUGUCGUUACAGCUACUUAUUUGCCCCAGUAUCUGUGCGCUAGAGAUGUCGACGAUACACGUUAUACUCAUCGUCGACAUCUCUAACGCACAGAUACUGGCGCACUAUCCGAGUUAUUAUUUGCUUAUGCUACUGUAUUUGUUAUUGCCGUUGGUCGGUGUCAGUAAAUGAUUGCCAAAGGGAAUUGUUGAAUCGUAUUAAAUAGCUUCUGCAUUUCGCCGAGCCAGCGUUUUUUGGGGAUAUGCUACCUGUGGCUUUGUGGUACGUUGGCAGCAGUUUUACUUAUACUCUGCUUUUCCUGGCCACAGUAAUAACCUACAGCGUGGUGAUAUAAAAUGUAUUAUAGCGCUGUAAUUGUAUGGAUAUUAACAUGUAGCCUUUCAGCGUACCCUGGACAUUUUGUAUAAUAUAAUAGUAAACACGGGAUAUCUCAGUGUCGGUUUAUAGAUAGAGAAUUAGGUUGCAGAUCUGCAGACAGCAUUUCGCAGAGGCAGACUUCGCGAUGAAGGACAUUUCGAGGGUUAUGGUGUAGGGGUUACCGACCGAUCAUCAUCAAAAGCGACUGAACGAAGGAGGCCACGCGAGUCAAUGCAAUGGAGCCCCAGAGGAUGACAUCUUCAUCCCUGAAAAUGUUUUCAUCCUGGAGGAGACUGCAGGAGGCAGGUGGUUCGGUACUGUUUGAAGACUUUGAGGGAACAGAUGGUCGCCAGACAAAAUAAUAACAACAAUAAGGUAGCUAAGCCACUCAAGGAGACAGGUCAGUGUGUGUAGAGGGAACACAUUUGAGCAGGUGGAGUCAGUCUUCUACUUCAUCUCCCUGGCCACUACACCAAUGAGGCUGAGGACCUCAAGUUUGGACCAAUUAUGCUAAUGCCCCACUGUAAGAACCUGGAGAUUUUCACUGGUUCUGAGGGAGGUGACGUGGCCACAAACAGUGCAUGGGACACCUUCCAGCACUACAUCUGUCUAGAGAACAGCCAGAGAGGGUGGUCAAGACAUCUGCCGUAACUUCAUCUUUAGUGUGUCAGCUCUGCUGUACCUGGGAGCUAAAGAUGGCUCUGGCUUGCUGAUGUCAUCUGAUCUGAUGAGAUUCCCUAUGUGAUUUCACUCCUGUAUCACUGACUGUAUUAAAAAAUAAAAACAUCCAAUGACAAAUAUAAAUAAUUUGGGAUUCUGUAAUUGAUAGUCGAUUGGGUCAAAUCCAAUUCAAAAACACUGAGUUAAGAAAGAAGAAAUGUGGUCCAGCGAGAAGAGGAUGGGUCCCCUGCACAGGCCAGUCAAGAGUGCAAUUUAAACUUGCAAGUGUGACUUUGAGCAAGCAAAACAUCAGUCACACAUAAAAGUACAUCUUAAACAGUACAUAAUAUGUUAAUAAAUGUCUUAUUACUUGUAACAUAGGUUGCGUGUAAGAGAGAGAAUGUUGCUCGCAUGUUGUUUGUCCGUUAGCCCAAGGCUUUGGAAUACAAGUGUGAAUCCUUAGCCCAGGGUUAAAUCA
Molecule: non-coding RNA, 1806 nt
Organism: Oncorhynchus mykiss (rainbow trout)
Lineage: Eukaryota; Metazoa; Chordata; Actinopteri; Salmoniformes; Salmonidae
Source: RefSeq, a predicted model, not a curated record